AUUGAACGCUGGCGGCAUGCUUUACACAUGCAAGUCGAACGGUAACAGGCCGCAAGUUGCUGACUAGUGGCGAACGGGUGAGUAAUGCAUCGGAACGGGCCCAGUCGUGGUGGAUAACUGCUCGAAACAGGAACUAAUACCUCAUACCGGCUAUGGAUGAAAGCGGGGUGCCUUAAUACCUCGCGCGAGUGUUGCUGCCGGUGUCAGAUUAGGUAGUUGGUUGGGUAAAGGCUCACCAAGCCAACGAUCUGUAGCUGACCUGAGAGGACAACCCGCCACACUGGGACUGAGACACGGCCCAGACUCCUACGGGAGGCAGCAGUGGGGAAUCUUGCACAAUGGGCGAAAGCCUGACGCAGCAAUGCCGCGUGAAGGAAGAAGGCCUUCGGGUCGUAAACCGCUUUUAUAAGGAACGAACAGACUCUGGUUAAUCCCUGCGCGUCAUGACGGUACCGAAACAAAAAGCCCCGGCUAACUACGUG
Molecule: ribosomal RNA, 482 nt
Filed under: uncultured bacterium
Lineage: Bacteria
Description: partial 16S ribosomal RNA
Rfam family: Bacterial small subunit ribosomal RNA
Source: RNAcentral